GUUGGCGAUAUACUGUCAGCGACUGAGCGAAAGCAUUAAGUGAUCCACCUGGGGAGUACGACCGCAAGGUUGAAACUCAAAGGAAUUGACGGGGGCCCGCACAAGCGGAGGAACAUGUGGUUUAAUUCGAUGAUACGCGAGGAACCUUACCUGGGCUUAAAUGUAGAACGACGGACCGGGAAACUGGUCUUUCUUCGGACGGUCUGCAAGGUGCUGCAUGGCUGUCGUCAGCUCGUGCCGUGAGGUGUCGGGUUAAGUCCCAUAACGAGCGCAACCCUCAUCAUUAGUUGCCAGCGGGUAAUGCCGGGGACUCUAAUGAAACUGCCGGUGUAAACCGAGAGGAAGGUGGGGAUGACGUCAAGUCAGCACGGCCCUUAUGUCCAGGGCUACACACGUGUUACAAUGGUCGGUACAAAGGGCAGCUACCUGGUGACAGGAUGCUAAUCUCAAAAACCGAUCUUAGUUCGGAUCGAAGUCUGCAACUCGACUUCGUGAAGCUGGAUUCGCUAGUAAUCGCGCAUCAGCCACGGCGCGGUGAAUACGUUCCCGGGCCUUGUACACACCGCCCGUCAAGCCAUGGAAGCUGGGGGUACCUGAAGUCCGUAACCGCGAGGAGCGGCCUAGGGUAAAACUAGUAACUGGGGCUAAGUCGUAACAAGGUAACCAAGGGCGAA
This 674-nucleotide ribosomal RNA is filed under the name uncultured bacterium. RNAcentral's name for it is "bacterial SSU rRNA". It matches the Rfam family "Bacterial small subunit ribosomal RNA", at positions 822 to 1510 of the family's 1533-position model. The record is from RNAcentral.